RNAcentral lists this ribosomal RNA (483 nucleotides) under uncultured bacterium. RNAcentral describes it as "partial 16S ribosomal RNA". It matches the Rfam family "Bacterial small subunit ribosomal RNA", at positions 30 to 506 of the family's 1533-position model. The record is from RNAcentral.
AUUGAACGCUGGCGGCAGGCCUAACACAUGCCAGUCGAGCGGAUGAAGGGAGCUUGCUCCUGGAUUCAGCGGCGGACGGGUGAGUAAUGCCUAGGAAUCUGCCUGGUAGUGGGUGAUAACGUCCGGAAACGGGCGCUAAUACCGCAUACGUCCUGAGGGAGAAAGUGGGGGAUCUUCGGACCUCACGCUAUCAGAUGAGCCUAGGUCGGGUUAGCUAGUUGGUGGGGUAAAGGCCUACCAAGGCGACGAUCCGUAACUGGUCUGAGAGGAUGAUCAGCAAACCUGGAACUGAGAAACGGUCCAGACUCCUACGGGAGGCAGAAGUGGGGAAUAUUGGCCAAGGGGCGAAAGCCUGAUCAAGCCAUGCCGCGGGUGUGAAGAAGGUCUUCGGAUUGUAAAGCACUUUAAGUUGGGAGGAAGGGAAGUAAGUUAAUACCUUGCUGUUUUGACGUUCCCAACAGAAUAAGCACCGCUAAACUUCGU